AGGUUGGGAUAGGCAGCAAUGCUCAUUACUUGUAUGGUAUUGCACUUGUCCCGGCCUGU
Molecule: microRNA precursor, 59 nt
Organism: Hucho hucho (huchen)
Lineage: Eukaryota; Metazoa; Chordata; Actinopteri; Salmoniformes; Salmonidae
Source: Ensembl